CCCUGCUCCUGCCCUAGUGAGCCAAAGUUCUUGCUGUCUUGAUGAUUUGCAACUCUCUGCAUGACUCUGCCUCUUGGGUUUGUUUAAUUAGAAAUAGGCUGGGAAGUGCUUCCUAUGCUCUGGCAUGUUAAUUGCUUAUCAGAGAAGGAGAAGGGGUGACGGCAUUUGGUGAUGGAAAUUUCCGCUCUCCCCAUCUCAGCCUGGCAGUGUUGCCCAGGAGGAGGCAG
RNAcentral lists this long non-coding RNA (227 nucleotides) under Homo sapiens (human). RNAcentral describes it as "HSALNT0020437". The record is from RNAcentral. Lineage: Eukaryota; Metazoa; Chordata; Mammalia; Primates; Hominidae.